Molecule: long non-coding RNA, 370 nt
Organism: Empidonax traillii (willow flycatcher)
Lineage: Eukaryota; Metazoa; Chordata; Aves; Passeriformes; Tyrannidae
Exons: 3
Source: RefSeq, a predicted model, not a curated record
GGAGGACUGGCCACUGCACGGCACGUCCACCUCUGAGGGGGACAAGGACAUCUUUGCCCUGGCUGCAACCAUAGUGGUUUGGGAGAUUCUCCAGAUGAUCCGCUACCCAGAGCUAUUGAUGGAAUAUUCGCCCCGUCUCCUCGUGGAUCUGCUCUUCCAAGUUCUCAUCAGCACAGAGCAGAUGCCAGAGGAGGUUGCCACCUUCUGGGGGAGAUGCUGGGAGGAACACCGCUUCGCCAGGAACCCCAGCAGAUUCGCAGUGCUGACCGUGAAGACCCUGCUUUGCCAUCUGCAGUUUGAAAAUAUUGUGAUGGCAAUGGAACGUAAGCGUGGCUGGGACACGCUCCUCAGGCCUGACACUUGCCACUAC